This 791-nucleotide unclassified non-coding RNA is filed under the name Hevea brasiliensis (rubber tree). The record is from RNAcentral. Lineage: Eukaryota; Viridiplantae; Streptophyta; Magnoliopsida; Malpighiales; Euphorbiaceae.
CCAGCUCCGAUGGCCGCCUCCAUGCAGCUCGGCCGCCUCAUCCUCCCCGCCGUCCUCCCCUCCCCCCUCCGCUGCUCCGCCCGUCCUGCCGCCAUCUCCGUCCGCUGCGGUGGCGACACCCCCGCCUCCACCGCCGCCGACUUCGACAAGAAAGUAUUCCGUCACAACCUCACCCGCAGUGACAAUUACAACCGCAAGGGGUUUGGACACAAGAAAGAAACCCUAGAGCUCAUGGAUCGGGAGUACACCAGUGAUGUGAUCAAGACGCUGAAGGAGAACGGGAACGAGUUCACGUGGGGGGAUGUGACGGUGAAGCUGGCGGAGUCGUACGGGUUCUGCUGGGGUGUGGAGCGGGCCGUGCAGAUUGCGUAUGAGGCGAGGAAGCAGUUCCCGGAGGAGAGGAUCUGGAUCACUAAUGAGAUUAUUCACAAUCCGACGGUCAACAAGAGGUUAGAAGAAAUGGAAGUUAAAAAUAUUCCAAUUGAGGAUGGGAGGAAACAAUUUGAUGUUGUUGACAAGGGUGAUGUCGUGGUUUUACCUGCAUUUGGAGCCGCUGUAGAUGAGAUGGUUGUUCUGAGUGAAAAGAAAGUACAAAUUGUUGAUACGACAUGUCCAUGGGUUUCAAAGGUUUGGAACACCGUUGAGAAGCACAAGAAGGGUGAAUAUACUUCUAUCAUCCAUGGUAAAUAUUCUCAUGAAGAGACUGUUGCUACUGCUUCAUUUGCUGGAAAGUAUAUCAUUGUAAAGAACAUGUCAGAGGCAAUGUAUGUUUGUGAUUACGUUCUUGGAGG